RNAcentral lists this ribosomal RNA (327 nucleotides) under uncultured eukaryote. RNAcentral's name for it is "partial 18S ribosomal RNA". It matches the Rfam family "Eukaryotic small subunit ribosomal RNA", at positions 1470 to 1796 of the family's 1831-position model. The record is from RNAcentral.
CCCUUAGAUGUUCUGGGCCGCACACGCGCUACACUGAAGGAGGCAGCGUGUACUCCUGGAUCGAAAGAUUUGGGUAACCCGCGAAUCUCCUUCGUGCUAGGGAUUGAGGUUUGCAAUUAUCCUUCAUGAACGAGGAAUUCCCAGUAAGUGCAAGUCAUAAGCUUGCGCUGACUACGUCCCUGCCCUUUGUACACACCGCCCGUCGCUACUACCGAUUGAAUGAUUUAGUGAGGACUUCAGACUGGGACCGAUGCGGCUUUCGGGCUGCGUCGGUAUUCUGGAAAGAUGUCCAAACUGUAUCAUUUAGAGGAAGUAAAAGUCGUANCA